AAAAGAUGAAACCAAUCACAAUGUGAGGCUAGAACUAGAGUUUUAGGUAGUUUCGUGUGCAUUGUGUAUUAGUGAGCCACUUUUGAAGUCCAUGUGGUUUUGUAAAAUGCAUUAAAAUGCAGGUAGCUUAUAAUGGUACAAAAUGAUUCCAUCCAUAUAACCCAAAUAUUUAACCAUCCAAACUGUCUCAACCAUAGACCUCAAGUCCUUGUCAAUAUAGUCAAAAUAUGCCAUAUCACUUCCUACACAGAAAUUGUCACUAAAUCUACCACCAUGAAACAUUGUAAUAGUGAAAUGCUCGGAUCAACUGCAAUGCACAUAAGAACAAGCAAUGAGACAAAAAAUGAAGUACCAACUUGACAAAAAUGCAGUACGGAUUUGAGACCACCUAAAAAUGCAUAUGAAAACUCACAUGCCUAACCUAACUUUC
RNAcentral lists this long non-coding RNA (430 nucleotides) under Prunus persica (peach). RNAcentral describes it as "long non-coding RNA (PPER_LNC002212)". The record is from RNAcentral. Lineage: Eukaryota; Viridiplantae; Streptophyta; Magnoliopsida; Rosales; Rosaceae.